This 266-nucleotide ribosomal RNA is filed under the name uncultured Staphylococcus sp. RNAcentral describes it as "partial 16S ribosomal RNA". It matches the Rfam family "Bacterial small subunit ribosomal RNA", at positions 96 to 355 of the family's 1533-position model. The record is from RNAcentral. Lineage: Bacteria; Bacillati; Bacillota; Bacilli; Caryophanales; Staphylococcaceae.
CGGCGGACGGGUGAGUAACACGUGGAUAACCUACCUAUAAGACUGGGGUAACUUCGGGAAACCGGAGCUAAUACCGGAUAAUAUAUUGAACCGCAUGGUUCAAUAGUGAAAGACGGUUUUGCUGUCACUUAUAGAUGGAUCCGCGCUGCAUUAGCUAGUUGGUAAGGUAACGGCUUACCAAGGCAACGAUGCGUAGCCGACCUGAGAGGGUGAUCGGCCACACUGGAACUGAGACACGGUCCAGACUCCUACGGGAGGCAGCAGUA